Long non-coding RNA from Pipistrellus kuhlii (Kuhl's pipistrelle), 142 nucleotides. RefSeq lists it as uncharacterized. NCBI's taxonomy places the organism in Eukaryota, Metazoa, Chordata, Mammalia, Chiroptera, Vespertilionidae. The transcript is spliced from 3 exons. The record is from RefSeq and is a predicted model, not a curated record.
GCAGGCCGACGCUCUAUCCACUGAGCCAAACCGGCUAGACCUAGGCUUAGAAUUUAGAAUUAGAUUUUAGAGGUAGUGUCUGCUUGCAAUAAAGUUUCUGUACUUUUCUCCUAUAACCUUUUGUCCGUGGCUUCAUUCUUCG